CCUGUCAGUGUGUGUGUCAGUAUGUAUGUCAGUGUAUGUGUCUGUGUGUCAGUAUGUGUGUCGAUAUAUGUGUAUCAGUAUGUCUGUCAGUUUGUGUCUAUGUGUGUCAGUAUGUAUUUCAGUAGAUGUGUCAGUAUGUCUUUCAAUGUUUGUGUCGGUGUGUGUCCAUAUGUCUGUCAGUGUGUGUGUGGGUGUCAGCAUGUCUGUCAGUGAAUAUAUGUGUGUCAGUAUGUUU
Non-coding RNA from Pelobates cultripes (western spadefoot toad), 235 nucleotides. The record is from the annotation of a GenBank genome assembly. Lineage: Eukaryota; Metazoa; Chordata; Amphibia; Anura; Pelobatidae.